Long non-coding RNA from Cyprinus carpio carpio, 1773 nucleotides. The record is from Ensembl. NCBI's taxonomy places the organism in Eukaryota, Metazoa, Chordata, Actinopteri, Cypriniformes, Cyprinidae.
CUUUCCUCCCUAUAUGAUCAUGACUGAUUUGAAUGUUCUUUUUUAUGCUCUCGUGGGCUAUGGGUUUAAGGGCAGCUGAAUAAAGUCAUCAUGAAGGAAGACAUGAAUAAGGAUACAGACAACACCCCAAUUGUCAUUGUCCUCCUCUUCAUAUGGAUCAUACUUGUUCUGGCUCUGCUGUACUUUUAUAAAAAACUUAAUGCAGACACAAAUGGACAGUACACCGUCCAGCGCAUUGUCUUCGCCCCUGGCGGCCUACGGGAUCGAUUGAGACAAGGAGUCGGGGUUGUGGAGAACAGACUUGGUGUCCACAUUUGGCCUCGACAGCGUGACGACGAGGAGAACAUAGGAGGUAAUGAUGAAGAGGACAAGGAGGGUGAAGGUCAUGACAAACAGAAUGACAGUUACACGGAGGAGGGAGAACAACAGGAAAAUGAUGACGGGGAUGAUUCUUCAGAUGACUAUUCCAGCGUUGACCUGAGGGAGAGGGCAAAGAUGCAGAUAAAGAAAGAAGAGAAGGAUAAAGGUGAGAAAGAAAAGGAGGAGAAGGAGGAGGCAGCAGCGGGAGAAGAGGAUAAAAGUCAAGAAGUGAAGAAUGAAGAGAAAGGGGAAUUGAUAGAUCUGACACCGUUUACUGGUAGUGCAAGUUGGUCUAAGGAAAACAAAGAUGGAAAUGAUGGAAAUGACUUGACUGCUUUAUGAAAAGCUCAGAGACAUUGCCUUUGAAUUUAAUAGGCGGGAAAUAAGGUGGCUUGGCCCAGUGGGUGGCACGAAACAUAUUUUUUUUUAUAACUAUGAGUCAGUUUAACCCUGUAAUUUUAACUAACAGUUUAUUGACAUCCCAUUAAAACAAAUGUUAAAAAGGUUUUCAUAUGUGUUUUGGCUGAUAUUUAUAUGGAAAAAAGUAUAGCUUGUAAUGUAAAUCAAUGAUAUGUUCAUAAGAAUAUGUCAGACUAUUUACAUAAAAUGUAUGUAAAUAUCUGUUUUCACUCUAAAUCUUCCAAUAAUAUGUCAUAGUAAGAUAGUAUUUAAAUGCUUAGUUUUAUGCUCCAAGCUCUGUAGUUUUUUAUUUUUUGGGAAAAACAGAUUUUUUUAUACAGUUAUUCUAAAGGACAUUUAUACUUGCUAAAAAAUGAUAAACUCUCAGUUGGACAACAGAAGGCCUGUAGUGGAUUGUACACAACAUUGUUUUUCAGGAAAAAAAAUUCUAAUGUUGAUACUUCUGAGGCCUUAGAAAUUUGUGUAUAAAAUAUGAAACAGUAGGGUUUAUAGGGUUAACUUUAAAAGUCAGUAAAACGGUUCCACACCAGUUUCCGUAAGUUGUUAGUUUAUGCACUUUCUGUUGGGUUUUUUUUUCUGCAAAUGCUGACUGUGUGAAAAUACAUUUUGAAACUUGUUAACAUUUUUAAGAGGUGUAAAUAUUUUUAUUAAAAAAUAUUUUCAUGUCAAUGUGGCUGUCAAAAUUGUCUAGUGUCUUCAUAUGACCUCACUGAUGGGUCAAUCUCACAAAACCCAUCAAGGACAUGUGUAGAGCAUAUCAAAUCAUGAGAAAUAAUAUUUUGUUAAAAGAAAACUAAGCCAAGGUCACAAAUGUGACAUGGACGUAACAUUUGCCAUUUAGGGCAUGGAACCGCCAACCACUUGGAGGCUGAAAACCAACCACAUCUCUUAUCAUGAUUGGUCAUCAACAGGGUUUCAUGGCAGUCAAGAUUAUGAUGAUGAUGAUGCAAAUUUGCUAACUAAGACACUGAUUUUUUAAAAAGGUUUUUAAAG